UUUUUUGGUCCUCCACAGAUGGAACAAUAGAUGCACUAUCAGCAUCGGACCCCUUGGCUUCUUUGCUAUCAUUUACUGGUUUUGUGAAGGAGGACUUCCAAUCCCUUCCCCUCCACAUAAGUAUGUGCUCAUGUUCAAAUGAGAUUAGCACACAUGGUACAAGUUCCUUGAGUUUGGCACCAACUUUCCGGUAGUCACUUCCAUUAAUUCCUUGACAAUUUAUUCUGACCAAUUCACAUUCUUCAAAUGCCUCCUGGAC
This 259-nucleotide unclassified non-coding RNA is filed under the name Hevea brasiliensis (rubber tree). The record is from RNAcentral. Lineage: Eukaryota; Viridiplantae; Streptophyta; Magnoliopsida; Malpighiales; Euphorbiaceae.